RNAcentral lists this ribosomal RNA (442 nucleotides) under Myeloconis fecunda. RNAcentral's name for it is "SSU rRNA". It matches the Rfam family "Bacterial small subunit ribosomal RNA", at positions 744 to 1205 of the family's 1533-position model. The record is from RNAcentral. Lineage: Eukaryota; Fungi; Ascomycota; Lecanoromycetes; Ostropales; Myeloconidaceae.
AGUUGAAGGAGGAUGGCUCAAUUGAAAGAACAGGAUUAGGUACCCUAGUAUUUUGAGCAGACAAUGAUGAGUGUCAUAGAUAAGUAUAUAAGUAAUAAUAAAAUUAUUUGAUUUAUGUAUAAAUGAAAGUGUAAGCACUCCACCUCAAGAGUAACAUGGCAACAUAGGAACUGAAAUCAUUAGACCGUUUCUGAAACCAGUAGUGAAGUAUGUUGUUUAAUUUGAUAACCCUCAUUGUGUAAGUACCAUAAUUUGAAUGUUUUAGAUAAAAAAAAUUUUAUCUAUUUCACAGGAGUUGCACGGCUGUCUUCAGUUGUUAUCAUGAGAUUUUGGUUAGAUCCAUUAAAUCAACGUAAACCCUUAUUUUAUUUUAUACAUAAAAUAUUCUUACCACUAUACUGGUUAAGAUAAUAGGACUAAGACAAGUCACCAGAGCCAAUUA